This 1133-nucleotide ribosomal RNA is filed under the name Pseudomonas aeruginosa. RNAcentral's name for it is "bacterial SSU rRNA". It matches the Rfam family "Bacterial small subunit ribosomal RNA", at positions 1 to 1125 of the family's 1533-position model. RNAcentral also lists the same sequence under 4 other names. The record is from RNAcentral. Lineage: Bacteria; Pseudomonadati; Pseudomonadota; Gammaproteobacteria; Pseudomonadales; Pseudomonadaceae.
AAAUUGAAGAGUUUGAUCAUGGCUCAGAUUGAACGCUGGCGGCAGGCCUAACACAUGCAAGUCGAGCGGUAGCACAGAGAGCUUGCUCUCGGGUGACGAGCGGCGGACGGGUGAGUAAUGUCUGGGAAACUGCCUGAUGGAGGGGGAUAACUACUGGAAACGGUAGCUAAUACCGCAUAACGUCGCAAGACCAAAGUGGGGGACCUUCGGGCCUCAUGCCAUCAGAUGUGCCCAGAUGGGAUUAGCUAGUAGGUGGGGUAACGGCUCACCUAGGCGACGAUCCCUAGCUGGUCUGAGAGGAUGACCAGCCACACUGGAACUGAGACACGGUCCAGACUCCUACGGGAGGCAGCAGUGGGGAAUAUUGCACAAUGGGCGCAAGCCUGAUGCAGCCAUGCCGCGUGUGUGAAGAAGGCCUUCGGGUUGUAAAGCACUUUCAGCGGGGAGGAAGGCGGUGAGGUUAAUAACCUCAUCGAUUGACGUUACCCGCAGAAGAAGCACCGGCUAACUCCGUGCCAGCAGCCGCGGUAAUACGGAGGGUGCAAGCGUUAAUCGGAAUUACUGGGCGUAAAGCGCACGCAGGCGGUCUGUCAAGUCGGAUGUGAAAUCCCCGGGCUCAACCUGGGAACUGCAUUCGAAACUGGCAGGCUAGAGUCUUGUAGAGGGGGGUAGAAUUCCAGGUGUAGCGGUGAAAUGCGUAGAGAUCUGGAGGAAUACCGGUGGCGAAGGCGGCCCCCUGGACAAAGACUGACGCUCAGGUGCGAAAGCGUGGGGAGCAAACAGGAUUAGAUACCCUGGUAGUCCACGCCGUAAACGAUGUCGAUUUGGAGGUUGUGCCCUUGAGGCGUGGCUUCCGGAGCUAACGCGUUAAAUCGACCGCCUGGGGAGUACGGCCGCAAGGUUAAAACUCAAAUGAAUUGACGGGGGCCCGCACAAGCGGUGGAGCAUGUGGUUUAAUUCGAUGCAACGCGAAGAACCUUACCUGGUCUUGACAUCCACAGAACUUUCCAGAGAUGGAUUGGUGCCUUCGGGAACUGUGAGACAGGUGCUGCAUGGCUGUCGUCAGCUCGUGUUGUGAAAUGUUGGGUUAAGUCCCGCAACGAGCGCAACCCUUAUCCUUUGUUGCCAGCGGU